CCUACGGGAGGCAGCAGUGGGGAAUAUUGGACAAUGGGGGCAACCCUGAUCCAGCCAUGCCGCGUGUGUGAAGAAGGCCCGCGGGUUGUAAAGCACUUUCAGUGAGGAAGAACGCCUGGUGGUUAAUACCCAUCAGGAAAGACAUCACUCACAGAAGAAGCACCGGCUAACUCCGUGCCAGCAGCCGCGGUAAUACGGAGGGUGCGAGCGUUAAUCGGAAUUACUGGGCGUAAAGCGCGCGUAGGUGGCUUGAUAAGCCGGUUGUGAAAGCCCCGGGCUCAACCUGGGAACGGCAUCCGGAACUGUCAAGCUAGAGUGGAGGAGCGGAAGGUCGCAUUCCCAGUGUAGCGGUGCAAUGCGCAGAGAACGGGAAGAAUACCAGUGGCGAAGGCAGCCUUCUGGACUGACACUGACACUGAGGUGCGACAGCGUGGGUAGCGCACGGAAACAGACACCCUAGUAGUC
This 465-nucleotide ribosomal RNA is filed under the name Vreelandella stevensii. RNAcentral's name for it is "partial 16S ribosomal RNA". It matches the Rfam family "Bacterial small subunit ribosomal RNA", at positions 338 to 795 of the family's 1533-position model. The record is from RNAcentral. Lineage: Bacteria; Pseudomonadati; Pseudomonadota; Gammaproteobacteria; Oceanospirillales; Halomonadaceae.